RNAcentral lists this ribosomal RNA (301 nucleotides) under uncultured bacterium. Its description in RNAcentral is "partial 16S ribosomal RNA". It matches the Rfam family "Bacterial small subunit ribosomal RNA", at positions 509 to 807 of the family's 1533-position model. The record is from RNAcentral.
CAGUCGCCGCGGGAAUACGUAGGGUGCGAGCGUUAAUCGGAAUUACUGGGCGUAAAGCGUGCGCAGGCGGUUGUGUAAGACAGGUGUGAAAUCCCCGGGCUUAACCUGGGAACUGCGCUUGUGACUGCACAGCUAGAGUAUGGCAGAGGGGGGUGGAAUUCCACGUGUAGCAGUGAAAUACGUAGAGAUGUGGAGGAACACCGAUGGCGAAGGCAGCCCCCUGGGCCAAUACUGACGCUCAUGCACGAAAGCGUGGGGAGCAAACAGGAUUAGAUACCCCGGUAGUCCCUGUCUCUUAUAC